AGCGAACGCUGGCGGCAGGCCUAACACAUGCAAGUCGAACGAACCUUUCGGGGUUAGUGGCGGACGGGUGAGUAACACGUGGGAACGUGCCUUUAGGUUCGGAAUAACUCAGGGAAACUUGUGCUAAUACCGAAUGUGCCCUUCGGGGGAAAGAUUAAUCGCCUUUAGAGCGGCCCGCGUCUGAUUAGCUAGUUGGUUGAGGUAAUGGCUCACCAAGGCGACGAUCAGUAGCUGGUCUGAGAGGAUGAUCAGCCACAUUGGGACUGUGACACGGCCCAAACUCCUACGGGAUGCAGCAGUGGGGAAUCUUGCGCAAUGGGCGAAAGCCUGACGCAGCCAGGCCGCGUGAAUGAUGAAGGUCUUAGGAUUGUAAAAUUCUUUCACCGGGGACGAUAAUGACGGUACCCGGAGAAGAAGCCCCGGCUAACUUCGUG
Molecule: ribosomal RNA, 434 nt
Filed under: uncultured bacterium
Lineage: Bacteria
Description: partial 16S ribosomal RNA
Rfam family: Bacterial small subunit ribosomal RNA
Source: RNAcentral